Molecule: ribosomal RNA, 406 nt
Filed under: uncultured bacterium
Lineage: Bacteria
Description: partial 16S ribosomal RNA
Rfam family: Bacterial small subunit ribosomal RNA
Source: RNAcentral
AUUGAACGCUGGCGGCAGGCCUAACACAUGCAAGUCGAACGAGCGGCGGACGGGUGAGUAAUGUAUGGGGAUCUGCCCGAUAGAGGGGGAUCACUACGGGAAACUGUGGCUAAUACCGCAUACUAUCGGAUGAACCCAUGUGGGAUUAGCUAGUAGGUGGGGUAAAGGCUCACCUAGGCGACGAUCUCUAGCUGGUCUGAGAGGAUGACCAGCCACACUGGGACUGAGACACGGCCCAGACUCCUACGGGAGGCAGCAGUGGGGAAUAUUGCACAAUGGGCGCAAGCCUGAUGCAGCCAUGCCGCGUGUAUGAAGAAGGCCUUAGGGUUGUAAAGUACUUUCAGCGGGGAGGCGUUACCCGCAGAAGAAGCACCGGCUAACUCCGUGCCAGCCGCCGCGGUAAUUC